GUGAAUGUAUAUAUGGAAGAUCACCCAAAAGGUAAGUUACUUAACCUGCAACAUUUUACUGUUGAGAUAUUUAUAUAUACAUAUACAUAUUAAAAUAACUCUCUUUCCUGCUGUUCUCUGACAAGUUCAAAAUCUAUGUUCUAUUCUUAGGAUCGGAAGAUCCCCAUUCAAUUUUAUUGCUGCCUGGACCGCAUGUCAGGGCAUGCGGUUGCAAUAUACCACUCUAGAUGCUGCUGGGGUAAAACUUAGGCGAACAGCAUACUUGUAGGCAGUGUAUAUAAAAUACAUUUCAAAGAAUAGUAGCAAGUAAGUGACAGGUAAUGUUUUGUUCUUCACUAUCCAUCUUGUACAACAGCAUUAUAGCAACCCUUACCUCUGUAUGUCUGGUGAGUAGCUCUUGUUUAUAAAUACAGAUGAUAUAGGCUGUAAAUACAGGCUUAGAAUCCCGAAGAAGAAAUGUAUCACGGGUUUUGGUGAAAAUGAUCCCCUUUGAGCAGUACCCACUAUGGAGGUGAGUAGAGUGAGAAACAAACCUAACUGUAAUAGCCCACAGUCCUUUGAGGGGACUAAAUCUGCCCCUGAGUUCCCAGGAUUAGGCUGUGAAAUAUAGCACUGCUUCAUCUUUUUGAAUGAAUGCAGCAUACACCAGGUGCUGUGUUUUCCAUUACCUAAUAGCAUGGUAUAGGCAGCCAGGACGAUGGUAACUGCAUUAUUAUUUUCAGCAGUUACAAUGUGUAAGGAGCUUUUCUGAGAAUGUACAUGGUAAGUCCUGCAGGCUAAUCUUUAUACUUAAACACUUCGUCUCCACUUGGAUGAGAUCCUUAAGCAUGUAAGGAUCCCAGUGUCUUCACUAAGACCGGGUACUUAUUCUUGGACAUGUGUGUUUUGUGGAAUGAAUCUCACAAGGUUUUAUUUUAAUUUUUUUGUAAAUAGUUGGGUUUAAGCUAUUUGGGAGUGUUUCAGCUUUAAAAGUUUCUGCUCUAAAAUCCUCAUUUUGCCUCAGUUAAAACCGAGCUCCAUCCAGAAUAUUCUGUUUUAGUAUAAAUAAUAGAAUAAAAAGCCUGAGUAUUUUCUCAAAAAUAACAGCUUUUUAAGAUUCCUUUCUUUCACAGGGACAGAACAGUUGAAAUUAAAAGAAUGAAAAUUAUUCUGAGAUUUUUUAAUGAAUUGUCAGCAAUUUGUUGUAUUUUCAGAGUAUUUACUUCAACAAAUGACUUAAGGUACUUAACAAAUCAUUUAAAAUUAUGUAUGAAACUCUUCUUUUUCCUUUGUAGUGGUAAUUUGCCAAGAAGACCAUAUAUAAAAGGAAGAUCAUGCAGUCAUUGUGCAAAAGGGGACACCUGUGAAAAUAACCUGUGUAGAAAUGUAGAACGCGAUAAACUUAUCUAUUAUUCAGGAUGGCACCCCCCUUGGGAGUUCAGCAUCACAUGCAAUGAGGCUUGUGUCGGUCUUGUGGUUUUGAGAAUAGUACUGUUACUUCUUGCUUUUGUCUCAGUUUAUUUUAUCAGAAACUACUUUACAGACAUGCCUAUAAACACCUAAUUGGAUUUGAAACACACAGUAUCUUCUGAAGAUAGUUGCUAAUGAAAUAAGCAAAAAAGUCGUACUGAUUUGACAUUAAAGACAACUUUGACAGUAAUUUUGUUUCUAUUAAUUAUUUUAUGCUCCUUAGAGAAACCUAACAUGCCAAAAAAAAAAAAAAAGUGAAAUUAUAUGUGGGUAAAACCCAUAUUGGGAAAA
RNAcentral lists this long non-coding RNA (1740 nucleotides) under Strigops habroptila (Kakapo). RNAcentral's name for it is "lncRNA (ENSSHBG00005003335.1)". Lineage: Eukaryota; Metazoa; Chordata; Aves; Psittaciformes; Psittacidae. The record is from RNAcentral.